This 68-nucleotide transfer RNA is filed under the name Paralvinella hessleri. Its description in RNAcentral is "tRNA-Leu". Lineage: Eukaryota; Metazoa; Annelida; Polychaeta; Terebellida; Alvinellidae. The record is from RNAcentral.
ACUAAGGUGGCAGACUAGUGCAUUAGGUUUAAGCCCUAACUAUGGGAACCUCCCCUUCCCCCUUAGUA